This 375-nucleotide ribosomal RNA is filed under the name uncultured eukaryote. Its description in RNAcentral is "partial 18S ribosomal RNA". It matches the Rfam family "Eukaryotic small subunit ribosomal RNA", at positions 592 to 976 of the family's 1831-position model. The record is from RNAcentral.
CAAUAGCGUAUAUUUAAGUUGUUGCAGUUAAAAAGCCCGUAGUUGGAUUUCGGUUAAGAGCGACCGGUCCGCCGUUUGGUGUGCACUGGUUGGUUUUAACUUCCUGUAGAGGACGUGCUCUGGGUUUAACGACCUGGACUCGGAGUCUACGUGGUUACUUUGAAAAAAUUAGAGUGUUCAAAGCGGGCUUACGCUUGAAUAUUUCAGCAUGGAAUAACACUAUAGGACUCCUGUCCUAUUUCGUUGGUCUCGGGACGGGAGUAAUGAUUAAGAGGAACAGUUGGGGGCAUUCGUAUUUCAUUGUCAGAGGUGAAAUUCUUGGAUUUAUGAAAGACGAACUUCUGCGAAAGCAUUUGCCAAGGAUGUUUUCAUUAA